This 300-nucleotide ribosomal RNA is filed under the name uncultured Glomus. RNAcentral describes it as "partial 28S large subunit ribosomal RNA". It matches the Rfam family "Eukaryotic large subunit ribosomal RNA", at positions 190 to 488 of the family's 3401-position model. The record is from RNAcentral. Lineage: Eukaryota; Fungi; Glomeromycota; Glomeromycetes; Glomerales; Glomeraceae.
AACGAAUUCGCCCUUCAUGGAGGGUGAGAAUCCCGUCCGGUUGAUCAUUUGCGUUUUACGAUACGCUUUCUAAGAGUCAAGUUGUUUGGGAUUGCAGCUUAAAAUGGGAGGUAAAUUUCUCCUAAGGCUAAAUAACGGCGAGAGACCGAUAGCGAACAAGUACCGUGAGGGAAAGAUGAAAAGAACUUUGAAAAGAGAGUUAAACAGUACGUGAAAUUGUUGAAAGGGAAACGAUUGAAGCCAGUCGUACCUUCGGGUAAUCAGCCUUUCGGGUGCGAUUCUGUGGAGUUUGAGGAGCUU